CGGUCUUUUAAGUGGGCGUGGCUUUUUGUAGUGGGCGUAGUCAGGGCUUGGUCUUUUAAGUGGGCGUGGCUUUUCGUAGGGGGCGUGGUCAGGGCUCGGUCUUUUAAGUGGGCGUGUCUUUUUAGGGGGCGUGGCCUGCGGCUACGCGUCGCAGAUUUGUGGGCGUGGCCUGAUGUUACGUGGGCGUGGCCAGGGGGUCGGAUGUGGGCGUGGCUUUUGGUGGGGGCAUGCAGAAAUCAAAGCCCACAUCCUGAACGCAGCCCGUGUGCUGUAUGCUCCAUUAGCGGGCUCCAAGGACGGCAGCUCCCCCAGCCCUGCACCCCGCAAGAAACGUGCUGCACACACCAGCCACAGGAAUUCCCAGGGAUUCGGAUGCACAUUCAUUAGGUUUCAUUAGCAUGCUGACCCCCCCCCCUGAUGUCUGAGCAGUCAGAGGUUGGGGGCUCCCCUCCGGGUGGCGGUGGGAUGAAGAAUCGGAGUCUUCCUCGCUGCGAUCUUCUGCCCUUCAGGACGCCUCCUCACCUCCCUGCUGACGUCCUCAGGCUGCUCCCAAACUCCUUAUGUUCUCCACCCCCUCCUGGUCUGAUUGCGCCUGCAGUCCCCAUUCUUCUGACAACUCCACACGUUUGCUUCUGUAAAUUACACCUCGAUCCCCACGUCCUCUGAAGCCCUUCUCUCGUCCUUCACUCUGCUUCCCCUCUCUCUGCUUCCCAUCUCAAUGGUUCCCCUCUCUUUGGUUCCCAUCUCAAUGGUUUCCCAUCUCAAUGGUUCCCCAUCUCAAUGGUUCCCCAUCUCAAUGGUUCCCCUCUCUUUGGUUCCCAUCUCAAUUGUUUCCCAUCUCAAUGGUUCCCCAUCUCAAUGGUUCCCCUCUCCCUGGGUUCCCAUCUCAAUGGUUCCCCUCUCCAUGGUUCCCCUCUCUGCUUCCCGUCUCAAUGGUUCCCCUCUCUUUGGUUCCCAUCUCAAUGGUUCCCCUCUCUCUGCUCCCCAUCUCCAUACUUUCUGCUCACUGAUUCCUCUCUGAUUCCCCUCUCUAUGGUUCCUGUCUCUCUGAGUUCCCAACUCUCUGGUUCCCCUCUCUCUGGUUCCCAUCUCAAUGGUUCCCCUCUCUCUGCUUCCUAUCUCAAUGGUUCCCCUCUCUCUGGGUUUCCAUCUCCAUGGUUUCUGUCCCUGUGGUUCUCCUCUCUUGGUUCCCCUAUGAAUUCCCAUCCCCAUGGUUCCCAUCCCCACGGUUCUGCUCUCUCAGGUUCCUCU
Molecule: long non-coding RNA, 1251 nt
Filed under: Phasianus colchicus (ring-necked pheasant)
Lineage: Eukaryota; Metazoa; Chordata; Aves; Galliformes; Phasianidae
Description: lncRNA (ENSPCLG00000022171.1)
Source: RNAcentral